AUGCUGGACUCGAGCAAGAAGUUCCUGUCUACUGGGACGGGCAUCUUCUCGGUAUUCAGUACCAUGCCAACCCAACAAGAUUUGACCAUUGAGAGGAGGGUCUUCAUCUUCAUCAUCUCCCGGCCUUGCGCUCCCAACCAUCAUCGUUGCUGGAAAAAAAUACUAAAGAGGUUAGCAGGUUUUCACUCUUUUCCGCAAUUUAUUUCUAUUAUAGUGUCUCGGUUAGUAACUCGCAACAGGGGAGUACCUGCUAUCCAUGCUACCCAUCUGAUGCAUGUAUUCAGUGCAGCAAGCAUGCCCCUUAAGUUAUUAAGGCCAACCAAAUUGUUUUCCUCAUUUAGUUCCUCUUCAUGCAUCGUGUAA
This 363-nucleotide ribosomal RNA is filed under the name Triticum aestivum (bread wheat). Its description in RNAcentral is "partial small subunit ribosomal RNA". Lineage: Eukaryota; Viridiplantae; Streptophyta; Magnoliopsida; Poales; Poaceae. The record is from RNAcentral.